AUAUCGGAACGUACCCUAGAGUGGGGGAUAACGUAGCGAAAGUUACGCUAAUACCGCAUACGAUCUAAGGAUGAAAGUGGGGGAUCGCAAGACCUCAUGCUCGUGGAGCGGCCGAUAUCUGAUUAGCUAGUUGGUAGGGUAAAAGCCUACCAAGGCAUCGAUCAGUAGCUGGUCUGAGAGGACGACCAGCCACACUGGAACUGAGACACGGUCCAGACUCCUACGGGAGGCAGCAGUGGGGAAUUUUGGAUAUUGGGCGAAAGCCUGAUCCAGCAAUGCCGCGUGAGUGAAGAAGGCCUUCGGGUUGUAAAGCUCUUUUGUCAGGGAAGAAACGGUGAGAGCUAAUAUCUCUUGCUAAUGACGCUACCUGAAGAAUAAGCACCGGCAAACUACGUGCCAGCAGCCGCGGUAAUACGUAGGGUGCAAGCGUUAAUCGGAAUUACUUGGCGUAAAGCGUGCGCAGGCGGUUUUGUAAGUCUGAUGUGAAAUCCCCGGGCUCAACCUGGGAAUUGCAUUGGAGACUGCAAGGCUAGAAUCUGGCAGAGGGGGGUAGAAUUCCACGUGUAGCAGUGAAAUGCGUAGAUAUGUGGAGGAACACCGAUGGCGAAGGCAGCCCCCUGGGUCAAGAUUGACGCUCAUGCCGAAAGCGUGGGGAGCAAACAGGAUUAGAUACCCUGG
Molecule: ribosomal RNA, 678 nt
Filed under: Janthinobacterium sp. A24MG5
Lineage: Bacteria; Pseudomonadati; Pseudomonadota; Betaproteobacteria; Burkholderiales; Oxalobacteraceae
Description: bacterial SSU rRNA
Rfam family: Bacterial small subunit ribosomal RNA
Source: RNAcentral